RNAcentral lists this ribosomal RNA (686 nucleotides) under Alternaria sp. RNAcentral's name for it is "partial large subunit ribosomal RNA". It matches the Rfam family "Eukaryotic large subunit ribosomal RNA", at positions 207 to 911 of the family's 3401-position model. The record is from RNAcentral. Lineage: Eukaryota; Fungi; Ascomycota; Dothideomycetes; Pleosporales; Pleosporaceae.
AGAGGGUGAGAAUCCCGUACGUGGUCGCUGGCUAUUGCCGUGUAAAGCCCCUUCGACGAGUCGAGUUGUUUGGGAAUGCAGCUCUAAAUGGGAGGUACAUUUCUUCUAAAGCUAAAUAUUGGCCAGAGACCGAUAGCGCACAAGUAGAGUGAUCGAAAGAUGAAAAGCACUUUGGAAAGAGAGUCAAACAGCACGUGAAAUUGUUGAAAGGGAAGCGCUUGCAGCCAGACUUGCUUACAGUUGCUCAUCCGGGUUUUUACCCGGUGCACUCUUCUGUAGGCAGGCCAGCAUCAGUUUGGGCGGUAGGAUAAAGGUCUCUGUCACGUACCUCCUUUCGGGGAGGCCUUAUAGGGGAGACGACAUACUACCAGCCUGGACUGAGGUCCGCGCAUCUGCUAGGAUGCUGGCGUAAUGGCUGUAAGCGGCCCGUCUUGAAACACGGACCAAGGAGUCUAACAUCUAUGCGAGUGUUUGGGUGUCAAGCCCGAGCGCGUAAUGAAAGUGAACGGAGGUGGGAACCCGCAAGGGUGCACCAUCGACCGAUCCUGAUGUCUUCGGAAGGAUUUGAGUAAGAGCAUGGCUGUUGGGACCCGAAAGAUGGUGAACUAUGCUUGAAUAGGGUGAAGCCAGAGGAAACUCUGGUGGAGGCUCGCAGCGGUUCUGACGUGCAAAUCGAUCGUCAAAUU